GACGAACGCUGGCGGCGUGCUUAACACAUGCAAGUCGAGCGGUAAGGCCUUUCGGGGUACACGAGCGGCGAACGGGUGAGUAACACGUGGGUGACCUGCCCUCCACUUCGGGAUAAGCCUGGGAAACUGGGUCUAAUACGGGAUGGGACCAUUCCAUGCAUGUGGGGUGGUGGAAAGUCGGUGCUGUUGUGGUGCUGGCGGUGGGGAGUGGCCGGCGGUCGUAUCAGCUUGUUGGUUGGGGGNGGUAGUGGUC
RNAcentral lists this ribosomal RNA (253 nucleotides) under uncultured bacterium. RNAcentral's name for it is "partial 16S ribosomal RNA". It matches the Rfam family "Bacterial small subunit ribosomal RNA", at positions 28 to 265 of the family's 1533-position model. The record is from RNAcentral.